This 321-nucleotide RNase P RNA is filed under the name Melaminivora suipulveris. RNAcentral's name for it is "Melaminivora sp. SC2-9 RNase P RNA component class A". It matches the Rfam family "Bacterial RNase P class A". From Rfam's summary of the family: Ribonuclease P (RNase P) is a ubiquitous endoribonuclease, found in archaea, bacteria and eukarya as well as chloroplasts and mitochondria. Its best characterised activity is the generation of mature 5'-ends of tRNAs by cleaving the 5'-leader elements of precursor-tRNAs. Lineage: Bacteria; Pseudomonadati; Pseudomonadota; Betaproteobacteria; Burkholderiales; Comamonadaceae. The record is from RNAcentral.
GAAGCCCGCCAGACCGCCGCUGGUGCAAGCUGGGAAACCAGGCACUGGAGGAACGUCCGGACUGCACAGGGCAGCGUAGCAGCUAACGGCUGUCCACCGCGAGGUGAGGAUCAGAGCAACAGAGACGAGCCGAUUCAGUUCGGGUGAAACGGGCAAUCUCUACGCGCAGCAACACCAAGUAGGCACACGUUGACGGGGCCCCCGGAGUGUGCGGGUAGGUGGCAUCGAGCCGGGUGGGCGACCCCCGGCCCAGAGUAAUGGCGGUCACAUGCGGCCUUCGGGCCGCAUGCACAGAAUCCGGCUUAUCGGCGGGCUUCACAU